This 333-nucleotide long non-coding RNA is filed under the name Nicotiana benthamiana. RNAcentral describes it as "long non-coding RNA (NBEN_LNC015035)". The record is from RNAcentral. Lineage: Eukaryota; Viridiplantae; Streptophyta; Magnoliopsida; Solanales; Solanaceae.
UGUUUCUCCCAAAAAUCUCUAUCCCCUUCGAGUACAGUUCUUUCUCUAGGGGUCUCCAUUCAGGUAUAUUUUUCGAGUAGGAUGCUUGCUUCACAGUUUCCAUUUUAGUGUCUUCUCCUUCAUUCCUGGCAUUGUCCCCAGCUUUAUGCAAAGAAGCACCAUUAUUAUUGCCAGACUGAUCUGGUGCUUGUGACUGUGGUAACAUUGUCCCCAGCCUUAUGCAAAGAAGCACCAUUACUAUUGCCAGACUGAUCUGGUGCUUGUGACUGAGGUACAUGAUCUUUGGCGAUAAUAGACGUCUCAUUGCUGUCAUAUCCAUCUUCUGCUGCCACA